CUGCAUAUGUCCUGGUUCCCUUAAUGAGAAAAAUAAUAAACAAAUAAAAUUAUCUUGUUUUGCAUGACUUUGGCCAAGUUAGCAUCUUAAUUGCUUCUGUUACAAGAUGAAUAAUCUUAAAUGGGACUUACAGUUGAGUUGGCCGCUGACAUUUAACAAGUGUCUAAACUGAAGAUCCCAUCUUUAACCAAGUGUUGGAAUGGCAAUGUCAUACUGCCACUGUACGCAAUUUAAAGGACUACCCCAUAAGAAAGUUGUGUGGGUGGUCUACCCACCAGACCACAAAACCGUCUCCCAUUUUUUUUUUUAAUCUCUUCCUUGUAAAAAGUUUGGAUGGUUCUGAGUAAUAGACAUUAUCGUGUAUAGCCUCUACAUUCUGGUAGCCACGUAAUGAUGGGUGUUAAAGCUCCUUGAGGGAUUAAAGGGAUCUGUAAUCAGUGACUUCCAAUUUACAGCCUUUACUACUUUUGUUAAAGACUAACCAUUCUAUCAUGUUUAGUGAAUUGUCUCUGGAAACUACAGGAACAUUGAAACAACUUUAUCAACCAAGAAGACUUUAUUUUCAUGUACAUGCAUGGGAGAAAUAUAGUGAGGAUACCAGUCGGUUGGUGGAUUGCCCAGGAUCUAAAUACUCCACCUUUUGUUGGGGGUUCUCUGGCAGGCCUUGAUAAUGCAUUCUCAUGGCACGCUUUGGGAUCCUAAAAUGGAAUGAAACAUAGUGCCAACAGAGAUGGUUCAGUAGACAACAAAACAUAGUGCCAUUAGAGAUGGUUCAAUAGACUACCAGCCCACAUCUCCAAAUUACAUCUCACGAAGCCUAGAUGUUAUUGAUAUUUUUCUUGCAGCACUUGCAGCAGGCAUAGAGUUGAUUCUUAGCAUUGAAAUAGUGAAAGCAGUUAUAGCUUCCAAGACUCUUACUAGUGCAGUUGGAGCAACCUAUAAGUAUGACAUUAAUUGCCACUAGCUCUACAGUCUUUAGGUUGUCAGACUUUGGUGUUCAAGGAAUUGAUGCCAAGUACAUCUUCUGUCCGAGAAAUUGAUGAUGCUGACAAGCUUAUAGAAGCAAUUAUGGCAAAGAAUGAUGGAAAGGCUGAGAUUGUUGGAGGGGAUACAUUGGUCUAGAUGUUAGUGCUAUAAUGAAUAUUAACAAUUUUAAUGUUACUAUGUGCCUAGGCUCUUCACUGCAGCUAUGAGGGUUGUUAUACAAAGAAAGGUGUCUAAAUUAUUAAGGGAACGGUUCCAGUUGGGUUUUUACAAAUAUAAAUGGGGAGGUGAAGGCUGUGAAACUGAAGGAUGGGAGCGUACUGGAUGCUAACAUUGUUGUUGGUGCCGUUGAGGGAAGACCCCUUACCAUAUUGAUCAAAGGACCGGUUGGGGAAGAGAAAGGGAAUUUCUUCAGUGCCAUCCACUGCCAUAUCUCAACCACCAUAACCAUAAUUAACAUGCUUAACCACCCAAUUUCCAAGGAUUGCAGUUGGUGAUUGCCGUUACUGAAUUCUUUUCUAUUCUUAACAAGAGGUAAGUUAAAAUUGUUUGUCUUUAAAUAAAAGCACUGUCUAAAUGACAUCUCUAUAGGUUUAUUUAGAAGUUGACACUUUGUUUUUAAUUUCCAAAAUGUUCUUUAAUUAGGGGUAUAAAAGAGGUUACAAAAAUAAUUUGAAAGUGUAUCAAACUGCUUAGGGUUCUUUAUCACUUCGAUACUACUUUAAUGAUUAUGGAAAAACAAAAAAAUGUGCUUCAAAUGCAACCAAUUGAAGCUUAUCUUUGAUGAUGGUGACUAAUUUGUGGAUCUCACCAUAAAAAGGGGUCCCAAUCCAAUGGAACCGAGGAAAUGCUUCUUGCUGAGCUUGAAUGUACAGGAUCAGUUGAGUGUGAAUUUGAAAUUUCACUACUUCCAGUAGCUGGAGAAGAUCUUGAUGAUUUUUUUCGUCAAAAGAUUAGGUUAUGCUGUUCAAACCCAUAGGUUUAUUGUGUUGAGCAACCUUCGAUGGAGAAAUAAAGAAAGAGACUAUAAGAAGACAUAGGGGCUGUUCUAGGAAUAUGAACAGACCUAUAAACAAUAUCUGUUAUUAUGGUUAGAUUUCCGUUUCCUUUGAAGACCCUAAACUUUAACCCUAAACCCUAAACCCUAAACCCUAAACUAAGAUGCUGCCAUAAAUCUCGUUUUUCAAGUACAUUGGGUAUGGGUUGCAGUUCAAUCUAAUGAACACCUUGUGUUUACUUGAUGCUGAGUUUUGGUUGUACCAAAAAACCGUUGGUACCCUUUGGUUACGUGAUUUGAUUGGUCUUCUUAGACGGCUUGGUCAUGUUACGCUUCUCAUACUGGUUUCUGACUCUUGACAGGUACCUAUUUUCUUCUCUAUCUGUCCCCCCCUUCCUUUCAGAUUCCUAUGUUGCUUUCCACUCUUACUCCUUUGCUUUCUUUACUUCUUGCUUAUGACAUAUUGUGAAGAAUCUGGUAAUUCCAAAAGAAAUGAGGGACAAAUUUGAAUCCUCCACUAUAUGAUCUUGAGCAAUUGAAACUACAAAAGAGCAAACUAGCAGAGGGGAUUUAUGAAGAAUUUUUUAAUAGCUUGCUACCGAGAUCUCACCUAAAGAGUUUAUCUAUGUCAAUGGAGUGAAUGGACUUCACUAUGGGGAUUGCGCAGCAAGCAUAGAGUUGAUCAUUAGCACUAAAAUAAUGAAAGCAGUUAUAGCUUCCAAGACUCUUACUAGUGCAUCUGGAGCAACCUAUAGGUCUUUAGGUUAUUGACUUUCGUGUUCAAGGAACUAAUGCCAAGAACAUCUUUUAUGUGAGAGAAAUUGAUGAUGCUGACAAGCUUAUAGAAGCAAUUAUGGCAAAGAAGGAUGGAAAGGCUGAGGUUGUUGGAAGGGGAUACAUUGGUCUAGAUCUUACUGCUGUAAAGAACAUAUACAAUGUUACUAUGGUGUAUCCUGAACCAUAGUGCAUGCCUCGGCUCUUCAUUGUAGCUAUGAGGGUUAUUAUACCAAGAAAGGUGACAAAUUUAUUAUAGGAAUAGUUCUAGUUGGGUUUUUACCAAUGUAAAUGGGGAGGUGAAGGCUAUGAAACUGAAGGAUGGGAGGGGGUACUGGAUGCUGACAUUGUUGUUGGUGGCGUUGGGGGAAGAUCCCUUACCACAUUGUUCAAAGGACCGGUUGAGGAAGAGAAAGGUGGAAUUAUGAUUUGUGUGGCUCCCAUAUCCUUUUAAACUUGGUCUUUAUCCACCACUAUGCCAACUCCACUUCUACCACUUUGGUCUCCCACAUUCCAAAAGAAAUGAGGGACAAAUUUGAAUCCUCCACUAUGUGAUCUCGAGCAAUUGAAACUGAGAGAGAGACAACCAGCAACGGGGAUUUAUGAAGAAUUUCUGAAUAGCUUGCUACUGAGAUCUCGCCUAAAGAGUUUAUCUAUUUCAAUGGAGUGAAUGGACUUCACUAUGGGGUUUGCGCAGAUAACGCCUUGUAGGUACUGGAACGUUUCAAGGCAGUUGUAGAGAGAGAAGCGAUAGCAAAGCGGCUACGAGGUGCAUCCAAGAAUUAAGUAUGGAAGGGAGGAGUUUUUAUAUGUCAAAAGAUGCUCAGAAUGCAAGAAGAAUGAAACUAUCGAGGGUCGUAAUCAAAUGGGAGCCUCUUUCUUGGUGUUCCUAGAAUCCUCUAACCAUCUGUUUUAUUUAUUUCACAGGUAUGGUAUUCCCGGCUUGCAAGUAUAUCCUCUGCAGCUGAGGAUGACCUUUGCGUGCGGUUGGACAGGACAUCAGACUUGGAAAAUAAAUUUUAACCAAAAACCAUACUUGGUAUGCUCUUUUAGAUUAUAUCCCUUUUGAUGAUUUAGGUCGAGUGAAAUUAAAAUGAUAGCUUCCAAUGGCUUGUUAUGGAAAUUCCAAUUGUGGGAAGAAUCCAAAUAAUGUUUUUUUUUUCUCUUUUAAAUUUAAAUAAUUUGACUGCCGAA
Macadamia integrifolia is the source of this 3949-nucleotide long non-coding RNA. RefSeq lists it as uncharacterized. The transcript has 13 exons. Lineage: Eukaryota; Viridiplantae; Streptophyta; Magnoliopsida; Proteales; Proteaceae. The record is from RefSeq and is a predicted model, not a curated record.